UACGGAAGGCAGCAGUGGGGAAUUUGGACAAUGGGCGCAAGCCUGAUCCAGCCAUGCCGCGUGAGUGAAGAAGGCCUUCGGGUUGUAAAGCUCUUUCGGACGGAAAGAAAUCGCGCAGGCUAAUACCCUGCGCGGAUGACGGUACCGUCAUAAGAAGCACCGGCUAACUACGUGCCAGCAGCCGCGGUAAUACGUAGGGUGCGAGCGUUAAUCGGAAUUACUGGGCGUAAAGCGUGCGCAGGCGGUUGAUUAAGACAGGCGUGAAAUCCCCGGGCUUAACCUGGGAACUGCGCUUGUGACUGGUCAGCUAGAGUACGGCAGAGGGGGUGGAAUUCCACGUGUAGCAGUGAAAUGCGUAGAGAUGUGGAGGAACACCGGAUGGCGAAGGCAGGCCCCUGGGGCCGAUACUGACGCUCAUGCACGAAAGCGUGGGUAGCAAACAGGAUUAGGAAUACC
This 456-nucleotide ribosomal RNA is filed under the name uncultured bacterium. RNAcentral's name for it is "bacterial SSU rRNA". It matches the Rfam family "Bacterial small subunit ribosomal RNA", at positions 340 to 786 of the family's 1533-position model. The record is from RNAcentral.